CACGUAGGGACCAAGCGUUGUUCGGAAUUACUGGGCGUAAAGGGCGCGUAGGCGGUACGACAAGUCGGGAGUGAAAGCCCCCGGCUCAACUGGGGAGGGUCACGCGAUACUGAUCGACUCGAAGGCAGGAGAGGGAAGUGGAAUUCCCGGUGUAGUGGUGAAAUGCGUAGAUAUCGGGAGGAACACCAGUGGCGAAGGCGACUUCCUGGCCUGUUCUUGACGCUGAGGCGCGAAAGCUAGGGGAGCAAACGGG
This 253-nucleotide ribosomal RNA is filed under the name uncultured bacterium. RNAcentral's name for it is "partial 16S ribosomal RNA". It matches the Rfam family "Bacterial small subunit ribosomal RNA", at positions 524 to 776 of the family's 1533-position model. The record is from RNAcentral.